Brassica napus (rape) is the source of this 845-nucleotide long non-coding RNA. RefSeq lists it as uncharacterized. The record is from RefSeq and is a predicted model, not a curated record. The transcript is spliced from 3 exons. Lineage: Eukaryota; Viridiplantae; Streptophyta; Magnoliopsida; Brassicales; Brassicaceae.
UUUUUAGGAGGGCAUGGGGCAUAUCGAGUUAAAGUCCGUUCACGUUCGACAAGGAAAACAAGAAGCCCAUCCUCGUGAAAGCUCCAAAGUCCAAACCCACGACGGAACAACGAUUCGGAUUCGGUGACGAUUCCGACGUCUUUCAUGACGGGGUCGAUCGUGGGGAAGAGAUUCUACAAGAAGGUGAUGACGAGAGAAGCGGACGAUGGGAGUGGAUGGACUGUGAUGCUCGAUUACAAAACACUUAAAACGCCUUCGAAGAGACCUCUCAAGCUUCCUUCUUUGAUAGGUCUGGGCAAUUACAGAUGCUAAGAGACAAGGGUAUCUUGGUUUCAAAGAGUUUAUCGUUGCUAUGCGGUUGAGAGAUUCAUGUUUGCAUUACAGUGAUGAAGAAUUACACAAUCAGAGAUGAUACUCUUUCUACUUUCUCUCUAGCCAGGAGGUACAAGAGCAUGGGUUUGGCAGUCUGGUUUUCUUAGGUUGUUCUUGGUAUAACAUUAGUCCCCUGCACUCUGCUUUCUAGGGAGGUACUUCAGUGUGGUGCAUCGGUUUCCAGACUUCUCAAGCACUUUACGCUCAUGCAUCUUCCUGUGUUCACUCAAAUCAGGAUUUCUGAUGUAAGCUAUGAAGAGCGGGAUGAUCCUGAUGGUCGAUUGGAACGCAGAGGCUUAUCAGGUGACUCAUAGUGAGAUUCACUUUACAAUCUGUUUGCAGGUUUCUUCCUGUUCCAUUCGUUGAUACCAUCUGAUCAAACUUCUUAUCAUGACUCUUUGUUCAUUCACACCUUUGAUCAAACUUCAUGUCAUGUAUGUUUUUCUUUCAUUUUAUAAAUAAAAUCAUUCAAC